CCUCCUCCGUCCCCUGUCCCCGCCCCUGUGGCAGGGCCCGGCGGGGGGGCUGGGCCCGGCCCCUGUCCCGCCGGGCGGGACGGGAAGGGGCGGUGGCGGCGGCCGGGAGCGGGCCCGCUGCAAGUUUCGCCCGGAGUGGGAAAGUUGGGCCCCGGCAGGACCCGGCCGGGUGAGGACUUUCUAAUGUGCGUGCCCUUUGGCAUGUCGGUGUCGGUUUCUGUGUUUCUUGAGCAGUUCGGGGCUUCCACAGUGGCUUGGCUGGGACAUUUAUGCUGGUACAACUUCAAGACAUUUAAGAGUACAUUGGAGUGAACUGGCAGGAAGCCUUUCAGCACCGCAGUGGCAAUAACACUGGCUGUCCUCUGGAGAUGCUGAAGCUCAGCUUUAUUUUCAACUUCUUUCUUACGCUUCCCGACUUGCGCACAAAGGGCUUAACAUUGAUUGGCAUUCAUACAGUAUAAAAUAGCCAUGGUUAUGGUUUUUUUUCCUCCCUUUAUUUGACACCUG
This 507-nucleotide long non-coding RNA is filed under the name Calidris pugnax (ruff). RNAcentral's name for it is "lncRNA (ENSCPUG00000017657.1)". Lineage: Eukaryota; Metazoa; Chordata; Aves; Charadriiformes; Scolopacidae. The record is from RNAcentral.